GACGAGGGGUCCUAGCGUUGUUCGGAAUCACUGGGCGUAAAGCGCAUGUAGGCGGCUUUGCAAGUCGAUUGUGAAAGCCCAGGGCUUAACCCUGGAAGUGCAGUCGAUACUGCAGAGCUUGAAUAUGGGAGAGGGUAGUAGAAUUCCUGGUGUAGUGGUGAAAUACGUAGAUAUCAGGAGGAACACCCGUAGCGAAGGCGGCACUCUGGGCCGAUACUGACACUGAGGAGCGAAAGCGUGGGGAGCGAACAGG
This 253-nucleotide ribosomal RNA is filed under the name uncultured bacterium. Its description in RNAcentral is "partial 16S ribosomal RNA". It matches the Rfam family "Bacterial small subunit ribosomal RNA", at positions 524 to 776 of the family's 1533-position model. The record is from RNAcentral.